UACGUAGGGACCAAGCGUUGUUCGGAUUUACUGGGCGUAAAGGGCGCGUAGGCGGCUUGUCAAGUCACUUGUGAAAUCUCUGGGCUUAACCCAGAACGGCCAAGUGAAACUGACAUGCUAGAGUGCAGAAGGGGCAAUCGGAAUUCUUGGUGUAGCGGUGAAAUGCGUAGAUAUCAAGAGGAACACCUGAGGUGAAGGCGGGUUGCUGGGCUGACACUGACGCUGAGGCGCGAAAGCCAGGGGAGCAAACGGG
This 253-nucleotide ribosomal RNA is filed under the name uncultured bacterium. Its description in RNAcentral is "partial 16S ribosomal RNA". It matches the Rfam family "Bacterial small subunit ribosomal RNA", at positions 524 to 776 of the family's 1533-position model. The record is from RNAcentral.